UGACCCGGCGCAUCGGGACUGAGACACUGGCCGGACUCCUAGGGGAGGCUGCCGUAACGAAUAUUGGUCUGUGGGCGAAAGCCUGAACCAGCGACGCCGCGUGUGGGAGGAAGCCCUUCGGGGUGUAAACCACUGUCAGUGGAUUACCAAGCUAUGGAGGCUAAUACCCUCCUGCGUUGAGGCGUCCCAGAGGAAGUCACGGCUAACUUCGUGCCAGCAGCCGCGGUAAUACGAAGGUGGCGAGCGUCGUCCGGAAUCACUGGGCUUAAAGAGCACGUAGGGGGACUGUCAAGCGUCUUGUGAAAUCCCCGCGGCUCAAGCGGGGAAUUGCUUGGGCGAACUGAGUAUCUUGAGGCAAGUAUGGGCAGAUGGAACCUCUUGGUGGAGCGGUGGAAUGCGUAGAUAUCAUGAGGAACACCAAAGGCGAAGGCAAUCUGCUGGGCUUGUAACUGACGCUGAUGUGCUAAAGCACAGUGGAGCCAACGGGAUUAGAUACCCCGGUAGUCAUGGCCAUAGCCGAUGUCCACUAGAUCGAUGAACUUCUGACAGCCACACGGUCGAAACAAAAGCCGUAAGUGGACCACAUGGGGAGUACGGUCGCAAGGCUCAAACUCAAAGGAACUGACGGGGGCUCACACAACCGCUGGAGCAUCGGGCUUAAUUCGAUGCAACGCGAAGAACC
This 682-nucleotide ribosomal RNA is filed under the name uncultured organism. RNAcentral describes it as "bacterial SSU rRNA". It matches the Rfam family "Bacterial small subunit ribosomal RNA", at positions 301 to 970 of the family's 1533-position model. The record is from RNAcentral.